GAAAACUGGCAGUUACAGGUCUCACCCAGCUCCCGCACAGCCCAAAGGGCUGUUCUCACUCCCACCGUGGCCCUCCCUGAAACAGCACCAAGUUUGUUUCCAGACAGCGGCUGAGCAGGGCUGAGAGCUUUCCUCAGUCUACCAGCCUUCCAGCUGAUAAAGCAAGCAGGGCUUCCAGGUUUCAUGUCUCCCUGCCUGCCACAGCUUCUGUGCUUUGUCUGCACUCCCAAUUCACCCCUUCCUCUGGGUUCUGUCCAGGAAACUUCAUGCUUGGUCAAAAUUGUUACAAAGUUCAGCUGGAAGUUUCCUUCUCCCUGUGUUUUUUUCCCAAUUCCUCUGGCAGCCCUCCCCAAGGACUCCUGUGAGACAAAGUCAGAAAUGACUUCCCUGGGGACUGAGAGAGACAACAGGGCUCUUCUCGAUGCUUCUUCUACCCCUGUAUUUUGCUCAGCUCUCUGAAGUUAUCUCAGUUCCAGCAGUCCCCGACGGGCUUUUCUGUUUCCUACCGCGUUGUGAAGGAGAUUCUUGCUGCUUCUUCGCUUUCUGCCAUGAUUGCAAGUUUCCUCCGGCCUCCCCAGCCAUGUGGAACUCAAAAGGCUUCUAAAAAGCCUAUGCAGAAUUUUUGAAGCAUGGUCUGUGAAUAUGAUGGAAUAUCACUCUCAUGAAUAGCUCCAACUCCUAAAAUGAUUGCAUUUUGUUCUGUGGAAUGUGUGGCCCAUCAAAACCAGGAUCCCUGUUUCUCCAACUCUUCUAAAGGUGAUCUUCAUCACAAAUGGCAUCAACAGAAAACACCACUUGAAACAUAGGGGAAAAAGUGGCCCCACUUCCUUCAUUGGCUAUUUUCCUUUUUUUGUUGUUGGAUCCUUUAUGCAAUAAAAUAUAUUGUAAAAGUUAUAUCUAUUAACUCUG
This 909-nucleotide long non-coding RNA is filed under the name Homo sapiens (human). RNAcentral's name for it is "HSALNT0112418". The record is from RNAcentral. Lineage: Eukaryota; Metazoa; Chordata; Mammalia; Primates; Hominidae.